RNAcentral lists this transfer RNA (75 nucleotides) under Podarcis lilfordi (Lilford's wall lizard). RNAcentral's name for it is "tRNA.Glu". It matches the Rfam family "tRNA". From Rfam's summary of the family: Transfer RNA (tRNA) molecules are approximately 80 nucleotides in length. Lineage: Eukaryota; Metazoa; Chordata; Lepidosauria; Squamata; Lacertidae. The record is from RNAcentral.
GGUUGGGGUAGCUCAGUUGGUAGAGUAUGAGACUCUCAAUCUCAGAGUUGUGGGUUCAAGCCCCACACUGAGCCA